This 502-nucleotide ribosomal RNA is filed under the name uncultured bacterium. RNAcentral's name for it is "partial 16S ribosomal RNA". It matches the Rfam family "Bacterial small subunit ribosomal RNA", at positions 30 to 523 of the family's 1533-position model. The record is from RNAcentral.
AUUGAACGCUGGCGGCACGCUUAACACAUGCAAGUCGAGCGGUAACAUGACUAGUAGCAAUACUAGUUGAUGACGAGCGGCGGACGGGUGAGUAACACGUAGGAACCUGCCCAGUAGUGGGGGACAACCAAGGGAAACUUUGGCUAGUACCGCAUAACAGCGAGAGAGGAAAGCUGCCGCAAGGUGGCGCUAUUGGACAGGCCUGCGUACGAUUAGCUAGUUGGUGAGGUAAAGGCUCACCAAGGCGAGGAUCGGUAACUGGUCUGAGAGGACGACAAGUCACACUGGGACUGAGACACGGCCCAGACUCCUACGGGAGGCAGCAGUGGGGAAUCUUGGACAAUGGGGGCAACCCUGAUCCAGCGAUGCCGCGUGAGUGAAGAAGGCCUUCGGGUCGUAAAGCUCUUUAGGCUGGGAAGAAGGUUGGUUCUUUCAGAGAUAAUCAAUUUGACUGUACCAGCAGAAUAAGCACCGGCAAACUCUGUGCCAGCAGCCGCCGUAA